This 870-nucleotide ribosomal RNA is filed under the name uncultured Alphaproteobacteria bacterium. Its description in RNAcentral is "bacterial SSU rRNA". It matches the Rfam family "Bacterial small subunit ribosomal RNA", at positions 9 to 929 of the family's 1533-position model. Lineage: Bacteria; Pseudomonadati; Pseudomonadota; Alphaproteobacteria. The record is from RNAcentral.
GAGUUUGAUCCUGGCUCAGAACGAACGCUGGCGGCAGGCUUAACACAUGCAAGUCGAACGCCCCGCAAGGGGAGUGGCAGACGGGUGAGUAACGCGUGGGAACGUGCCCUAAGGUACGGAACAACUCCGGGAAACUGGAGCUAAUACCGUAUGUGACCGAGAGGUGAAAGAUUUAUCGCCUUAGGAUCGGCCCGCGUUAGAUUAGCUAGUUGGUGGGGUAAAAGCCUACCAAGGCGACGAUCUAUAGCUGUUCUGAGAGGAAGAUCAGCCACACUGGGACUGAGACACGGCCCAGACUCCUACGGGAGGCAGCAGUGGGGAAUCUUGGACAAUGGGCGCAAGCCUGAUCCAGCCAUGCCGCGUGAGUGAUGAAGGCCUUAGGGUUGUAAAACUCUUUCGCCGAGGACGAUAAUGACGGUACUCGGAGAAGAAGCUCCGGCUAACUUCGUGCCAGCAGCCGCGGUAAUACGAAGGGGGCUAGCGUUGUUCGGAUUUACUGGGCGUAAAGCGCAUGUAGGCGGGCCGUUAAGUUGGGGGUGAAAGCCCGAGGCUCAACCUCGGAAUUGCCUUCAAAACUGGCGGCCUGGAGCAGAUGAGAGGCGAGUGGAAUUCCGAGUGUAGAGGUGAAAUUCGUAGAUAUUCGGAGGAACACCAGUGGCGAAGGCGACUCGCUGGCAUCUUGCUGACGCUGAGAUGCGAAAGCGGGGGGAGCAAACAGGAUUAGAUACCCUGGUAGUCCACGCUGUAAACGAUGAGAGCUAGUUGUCGGCACGCAUGCGUGUCGUUGACGCAGCUAACGCAUUAAGCUCUCCGCCUGGGGAGUACGGCCGCAAGGUAAAACUCAAAGAAAUUGACGGGGGCCCGCACAAG